This is a long non-coding RNA of Haliotis rubra (blacklip abalone), 320 nucleotides long. RefSeq lists it as uncharacterized. Lineage: Eukaryota; Metazoa; Mollusca; Gastropoda; Lepetellida; Haliotidae. The transcript has 3 exons. The record is from RefSeq and is a predicted model, not a curated record.
CUUCUAAAUGCCACUUAAGGAAGUACUCCAGUUAAAGAUGACACAACACAAAAAGACAGUAAUAAUAUUAUUAUAACAUUAAGGCUUGAUUACAGGUUAUGAUGGCUUGUUGUAUCAUUGACAGUGCAGGUAGACAGGGCGAUAGUUUGGGGGUCCCACGGUCCCUCUUGCCACUGUCAUGUGACAACAUAGCCCCAGGGGAUUGGCUGAAAAACUGUUGUUAUUGGAACCCAUGGCACCAGUGCAUUGAUCCCCCAAACCCUAUGAUAUAGUUAGUACUGAGUGAGUGUGAGUGAGUUUAGUUUUACGCCGCACUCAGC